Molecule: non-coding RNA, 506 nt
Organism: Prionailurus viverrinus (fishing cat)
Lineage: Eukaryota; Metazoa; Chordata; Mammalia; Carnivora; Felidae
Source: the annotation of a RefSeq genome assembly
UGCUGAUAAAACCAGCCCAUCGCAGACUCUGCAGCUGGGAGAAGAGCCCCAGGCCCGGGAAUCUCAGGUGUUCCCAUUCUCUGAUCAGGAAAGAACAGACACCUCACCAUGGAGUUUGUGCUUGGCUGGGUUUUCCUGGUUGCUCUUUUAAAAGGUGUCCAGUGUGACGUGCAGCUGGUGGAGUCUGGAGGAGACCUGGUGAAGCCUGGGGGGUCCCUGAGACUCACCUGUGUGGCCUCUGGAUUCACCUUCAGUAGCUCUUGGAUGAGCUGGGUCCGCCAGGCUCCAGGAAAGGGGCUGCAGUGGGUCGCAUAUAUUAAUACUGAUGGAAGUAGCACAAGCUACACAGACUCCGUGAAGGGCCGAUUCACCAUCUCCAGAGACAACGCCAAGAACACGCUUUAUCUGCAGAUGAACAAUCUGAAGACUGAGGACACGGCCACAUAUUACUGUGCAAGAGACACGUAAUAGAAGUUGCGGCAAGAUGGCGGCUUAGGAGGACGCUG